This 389-nucleotide ribosomal RNA is filed under the name Enterococcus casseliflavus. Its description in RNAcentral is "bacterial SSU rRNA". It matches the Rfam family "Bacterial small subunit ribosomal RNA", at positions 96 to 472 of the family's 1533-position model. The record is from RNAcentral. Lineage: Bacteria; Bacillati; Bacillota; Bacilli; Lactobacillales; Enterococcaceae.
UGGCGAACGGGUGAGUAACACGUGGGUAACCUGCCCAUCAGAAGGGGAUAACACUUGGAAACAGGUGCUAAUACCGUAUAACACUAUUUUCCGCAUGGAAGAAAGUUGAAAGGCGCUUUUGUGUCACUGAUGGAUGGACCCGCGGUGCAUUAGCUAGUUGGUGAGGUAACGGCUCACCAAGGCAACGAUGCAUAGCCGACCUGAGAGGGUGAUCGGCCACACUGGGACUGAGACACGGCCCAGACUCCUACGGGAGGCAGCAGUAGGGAAUCUUCGGCAAUGGACGAAAGUCUGACCGAGCAACGCCGCGUGAGUGAAGAAGGUUUUCGGAUCGUAAAACUCUGUUGUUAGAGAAGAACAAGGAUGAGAGUAAAACGUUCAUCCCUUGA